Non-coding RNA from Trichomonas vaginalis G3, 1091 nucleotides. The record is from Rfam. NCBI's taxonomy places the organism in Eukaryota, Parabasalia, Trichomonadida, Trichomonadidae.
CCAAAAGCAGGUAUCCGCUAAAGAGUGUGUUAAAACUCACCUGCCGAAUACUAGGGCCCCGAAAAUGAAUGGCGCAUAUAGUACUACCGAUCUCAGACAUCAGUUCUAUUGAACUGAGAGUAGGGGGAUGUGGACAUUUUUGUGAAGGUGCAAUGUGAGUUGGACUGGAAGAAUGUCUAUUACAGAUCCUAAUUGAAGUAGCGAUUAUCCAGGCUUGUAUCCUGGGGGCUGAUGAGGAGUAGGGUUUCUGGACAACUUAAACAGAUCCAGAGUUAGUCGAUCCUAAUCUCAAUAAUGGGAGAAAGGGAGUACAGUUGAUAUUCUGUAACUGACAACAGUUCGCGGCAACGCAUACUAUUUUUCUCCGCCAAUCUUAUACCGUUGGUAGGGAUCUCUUUCCUACAUGACAGUACUAAUACCCAGGGAAACUGGUCAUCAGGCGAACUGCGGCGUUCUGCUGGCAAAACAUAGCUUCGGUUAUGUCAAUGGCUAUUGGAUUGGUCCAUGAAGCGAAAAAUAGUUUACUGUGUCACUCGUACCGAUAACCGCAUCAGGUCUUCUAGGUAAGUAGCCUAUGGCCAUUGAGGCAUGAUAGUUCAGGGAAUUCGGCCAAUUAGAGCUGUAACUUCGGGAUAAAGCUUGGCUCUGAUGAAAAUCAGAACCGAUUGUUACGCGGAGAGCCCAACUGUUUAAUAAAAACGUAGUGUCGCGCUGUGGUAGUAUAGCCAGUGAACGCGACAUGAAUCCUGCUCAGUGCUGUGUCUGUUAAUAUGGUUCAAGCCAACGAAGCACCGGUAAAUAGCUGGGGUAACUAUGACUCUUAUCAAAGUAGCGAAAUACCUCGUCACUUAAUUAGUGACCUGCAUGAACGGAGCUAUGAGGUUCUCACUGUCCCAAACUGUCUCUCAGCGAACCAACUGUAGUGGGAACGGUCACUAGAUAUCCAGCGGGGAAAGAAGACCCUGUAGAGCUUCACUUUGGUCUAGUCUUGUAUAGUUCCUGCGGGGGGUGUAGACUAGGUGGGGAGAAGCAUCGAUUCUGAAAAACCACUACCCUGGUUUGGAAUUAUGCUUUACCUAUCACAAGAUAGA